Molecule: unclassified non-coding RNA, 281 nt
Filed under: plant metagenome
Description: partial contains small subunit ribosomal RNA, internal transcribed spacer 1, and 5.8S ribosomal RNA
Rfam family: 5.8S ribosomal RNA (bases 233-281)
Source: RNAcentral
UCUCCGUUGGUGAACCAGCGGAGGGAUCAUUACCGAGUUUACAACUCCCAAACCCAAUGUGAACGUUACCAAACUGUUGCCUCGGCGGGAUCUCUGCCCCGGGUGCGUCGCAGCCCCGGACCAAGGCGCCCGCCUGAGGACCAACCAAAACUCUUUAUGUAUACCCCCUCGCGGGUUUUUUACAAUCUGAGCCAUCCCAGCGCCCCUCGGUGGCGUUUAGACAAUGAAUCAAAACUUUCAACAACGGAUCUCUUGGUUCUGGCAUCAAUGAAGAACGCAGC